This 712-nucleotide long non-coding RNA is filed under the name Coturnix japonica (Japanese quail). Its description in RNAcentral is "lncRNA (ENSCJPG00005001569.1)". Lineage: Eukaryota; Metazoa; Chordata; Aves; Galliformes; Phasianidae. The record is from RNAcentral.
CCAUGGGGGGGUUGUGUUGUGGGGUCCCCAUUGCAGUUUAUGGGGGUCGUGUUGUGGCGUCCCCAUUGCCAGUUAUGCAGGGGGUUGUGUGUGGGUCCCCAUUGCAGUUAUGGGGGUUGUGUUGUGGUCCCAUUGCAGUUAUGGGGGGGUCGUGUUGUGGGUCCCCAUUGCAGUUAUGGGGGGUGUGUGCUGUGGGUCGCCAUUGCAGUUAUGGGGGGUGUGCUGUGUGGGUCCCCAUUGCAGUUAUGGGGGGUUUGGCUGUGGGUCCCCAUUGCAGUUAUGGGGGGUUGUGUUGUGGGUCCCCAUUGCAGUUAUGGGGGUUGUGCACUGUGGGUCCAUUGCUAGUUAUGGGGGGUCGUGUGUGGGUCCCCCAUGCAGUUAUGGGGGGGGUCGUGCUGUGCGCCUCCCUUGCAGUUAUGGGGGUUGUGUUGUGGGUCCCCAUUGCAGUUAUGUGGGGCUCGUGUUGUGGGUCCCAUUGCAGUUAUGGGGGCGGUUGUGCUGUGGGUCCCAUUGCAGUUAUGGGGGGUCUGUUGUGGGGUCCCCAUUUGCAGUUAUGGGGGGUUGUGUGUUGUUGGGUCCCCAUUGCAGUUAUGGGGGUUUUAUUGUGGGGUCCCCAUUGCAGUUAUGGGGUUGUAUUGUGGGGUUCCCCAUUGCGUUAUGGGGAGGGCGUCGUGCUGUGGGUCCCCAUUGCAGUUAUGGGGGUGUAUGUGGG